AACGAACGCUGGCGGCAUGCCUAACACAUGCAAGUCGAACGAGACCUUCGGGUAUAGUGGCGCACGGGUGCGUAACGCGUGGGAACCUGCCCUUAGGUUCGGAAUAACUACCCGAAAGGGGUGCUAAUACCGGAUAAUGUCUUCGGACCAAAGAUUUAUCGCCUUUGGAUGGGCCCGCGUUGGAUUAGCUAGUUGGUAGGGUAAAAGCCUACCAAGGCGACGAUCCAUAGCUGGUCUGAGAGGAUGAUCAGCCACACUGGGACUGAGACACGGCCCAGACUCCUACGGGAGGCAGCAGUGGGGAAUAUUGGACAAUGGGCGAAAGCCUGAUCCAGCAAUGCCGCGUGAGUUAUGAAGGCCUUAGGGUUGUAAAGCUCUUUUUCCCGGGAUGAUAAUGACAGUACCGGGAGAAUAAGCACCGGCUAACUCCGUG
Molecule: ribosomal RNA, 433 nt
Filed under: uncultured bacterium
Lineage: Bacteria
Description: partial 16S ribosomal RNA
Rfam family: Bacterial small subunit ribosomal RNA
Source: RNAcentral